ACUUAAAUUGAAGAGUUUGAUCAUGGCUCAGAUUGAACGCUGGCGGCAGGCCUAACACAUGCAAGUCGAGCGGUAGCACAGAGAGCUUGCUCUCGGGUGACGAGCGGCGGACGGGUGAGUAAUGUCUGGGAAACUGCCUGAUGGAGGGGGAUAACUACUGGAAACGGUAGCUAAUACCGCAUAAUGUCGCAAGACCAAAGUGGGGGACCUUCGGGCCUCAUGCCAUCAGAUGUGCCCAGAUGGGAUUAGCUAGUAGGUGGGGUAACGGCUCACCUAGGCGACGAUCCCUAGCUGGUCUGAGAGGAUGACCAGCCACACUGGAACUGAGACAC
Molecule: ribosomal RNA, 332 nt
Filed under: Klebsiella pneumoniae
Lineage: Bacteria; Pseudomonadati; Pseudomonadota; Gammaproteobacteria; Enterobacterales; Enterobacteriaceae
Description: bacterial SSU rRNA
Rfam family: Bacterial small subunit ribosomal RNA
Source: RNAcentral